RNAcentral lists this ribosomal RNA (396 nucleotides) under uncultured organism. RNAcentral describes it as "bacterial SSU rRNA". It matches the Rfam family "Bacterial small subunit ribosomal RNA", at positions 45 to 433 of the family's 1533-position model. The record is from RNAcentral.
UGCUUAACACAUGCAAGUCGAGCGAAUUUCAGCAGCGUAUCGCUGAAGUUAGCGGCAGACGGGUGAGUAACACUUGGGCAAUCUACCCUCAAGAGGGAAACAACCUGCCGAAAGGCGGGCUGAUAUCCCGUAAGACCACAGGAUGGCAUCAUCCAGGGGUCAAAGCUCCGCAAGGGGCGCUGGAGGAGGAGCCCGAGGCCUAUCAUGGUAGUUGGCGGGGUAACGGCCCACCAAGCCUUUGACGGGUAGCCGGCCUGAAAGGGUGAUCGGCCACACUGGCACUGAGACACGGGCCAGACUCCUACGGGAGGCAGCAGUGGGGAAUUUUGGACAAUGGGGGCAACCCUGAUCCAGCGACGCCGCGUGGAGGAUGAAGGUCUUCGGAUUGUAAACUCC